UACGAAGGGGGCUAGCGUUGCUCGGAAUGACUGGGCGUAAAGGGCGCGUAGGCGGUUUGUACAGUCAGAUGUGAAAUUCCUGGGCUUAACCUGGGGGCUGCAUUUGAUACGUGCAGACUUGAGUGAGGAAGAGGGUUGUGGAAUUCCCAGUGUAGAGGUGAAAUUCGUAGAUAUUGGGAAGAACACCGGUGGCGAAGGCGGCAACCUGGUCCUUGACUGACGCUGAGGCGCGAAAGCGUGGGGAGCAAACAGG
Molecule: ribosomal RNA, 253 nt
Filed under: uncultured bacterium
Lineage: Bacteria
Description: partial 16S ribosomal RNA
Rfam family: Bacterial small subunit ribosomal RNA
Source: RNAcentral